Molecule: ribosomal RNA, 253 nt
Filed under: uncultured bacterium
Lineage: Bacteria
Also listed under: 1 other name
Description: partial 16S ribosomal RNA
Rfam family: Bacterial small subunit ribosomal RNA
Source: RNAcentral
UACAGAGGGUGCAAGCGUUGUUCGGAAUUACUGGGCGUAAAGCGCGUGUAGGCGGUCUGGCAAGUCGGUCGUGAAAGCCCUUGGCUUAACCAAGGAACUGCGAUCGAAACUACUAGACUUGAGUAUCGGAGGGGGUGGCGGAAUUCCCGGUGUAGAGGUGAAAUUCGUAGAUAUCGGGAGGAACACCUGUGGCGAAGGCGGCCACCUGGAAGAUAACUGACGCUGAGACGCGAAAGCGUGGGGAGCAAACAGG